GAUGAACGCUAGCGGCAGGCCUAACACAUGCAAGUCGAGGGGUAUAUAGUGCUUGCACUAUAGAGACCGGCGCACGGGUGAGUAACGCGUAUGGAAUCUGCCUUGUACAGGGGAAUAGCCCAGGGAAACUUGGAUUAAUGCCCCAUAGUAUUAUAGAACGGCAUUGUUUUAUAAUUAAAGAUUUAUCGGUACAAGAUGAUCAUGCGUCCCAUUAGCUAGUUGGUGUGGUAACGGCACACCAAGGCUACGAUGGGUAGGGGCCCUGAGAGGGGGAUCCCCCACACUGGUACUGAGACACGGACCAG
RNAcentral lists this ribosomal RNA (305 nucleotides) under uncultured bacterium. Its description in RNAcentral is "bacterial SSU rRNA". It matches the Rfam family "Bacterial small subunit ribosomal RNA", at positions 28 to 334 of the family's 1533-position model. The record is from RNAcentral.